UAUUGGACAAUGGGGGCAACCCUGAUCCAGCGAUGCCGCGUGUGUGAAGAAGGCCUGAGGGUUGUAAAGCACUCUCGGUGGGGAGGAGAGGUAUGGUGUUAACAGCAUGAUACUGAGACGUUACCCACAUAAGAAGCACCGGCUAACUCCGUGCCAGCAGCCGCGGUAAUACGGAGGGUGCAAGCGUUAAUCGGAAUGACUGGGCGUAAAGGGUGCGUAGGCGGUUUAAUAAGUUAAGUGUAAAGCCCCGGGCUAACCUGGGAGGUCAUUAAGACUGUAGCUUAGACAAGGAGGGAGUGAAUUUCCGGUGAGCGGUAAAUGCGAAGUCGAAGAACACCAGUGGAAGCGGUCCUGCUUGUCUGCGUGGACAG
Molecule: ribosomal RNA, 371 nt
Filed under: uncultured bacterium
Lineage: Bacteria
Description: bacterial SSU rRNA
Rfam family: Bacterial small subunit ribosomal RNA
Source: RNAcentral